CGGACUGUUGAGACAGCUUCUCCUUAAAUGACUUGAAUGUUCAGUUGAAAUCUCGGAGCUUGCUUUUUCCACCUAUAUAUAAUACACAUUGAUAUAUAUAUAUAUAUUCUGAAGUUGUUAAGAUGGAUUGACAAAAGGAAAGCAAACGAUGCUGGUAACUUUUGUAAGAUGUUUCCAUUGGAGUACCUUGUGUAGGAACAAUCCCAUUGGUAACGCAGAGGGGGAGGAACGCCAAGAGUUUGGGCUUACUUUAACCAGCAGUUGAUGUAACCGUGUCGUUUGGGGCAGGAAGGGGAUGGGGGAUUAUUCAUCCAUAAGUGAAACAAGUUAGGAAAUGUUCAAAGCGGUCCAUAUUCGGGGAAAAGAAAACAAAAACCCAGUAAGUACCUCUCGACACCACUCAGAAAUAAAGAAAGGUGUGAUUUCCUAAUGACAUUUCUAAGGCAGUUUGUCUUCCUGUAAGAGUUCUCUUGCCAAGGAAUCUCUCAUCUCUCACUCGUUCUGUCCCGGAGGAGGGAAUCGGGCUUGGAAAGAUUCGUCACGUUUUGCUGUUCAGCAGAAAAUGAUCCUUUUUUACAUUUUGUGCGAGAUAUUUUACGUUUUAAAGAUGGUAAUUUUAAAACUGAGCACUACAUAAUGUCAAUGUGAAUGUAGGCCUUGAAAGCAUCUUGCUCGGUGUUGAGCCUGGUUCUAAAAGCAAUCUCCUGUGUACAAUGUGUGAAUAGUUUGAUAAUUUGUAUACAUAAUCAAGAGCAUCUGAUCAGCUGAACUCCGUGUUGGCUGCUGUAUAGAACAUGAACAAAUGUCAUGGGAUAGAAAAAUUACUUUGGAUAUUUAAAAGAAAAAUAAAUAUAUAGUCUAUUUGUUUUGUAACAAGUUUCUGUAAAUAAAAUAAUUUAUACUAUUUAUAAGAAAAAGUUGUGCUUUGCUUCAUGACAGAGAUUAGUUUGUUGAACAAACAUGUUACUAAACAAGGCAAUAAAAUUAGGACUUUUCAAUAAAUGAGGUUGGUUGCAUGGAAC
Molecule: long non-coding RNA, 1022 nt
Organism: Gallus gallus (chicken)
Lineage: Eukaryota; Metazoa; Chordata; Aves; Galliformes; Phasianidae
Source: Ensembl